CUAGACGAAAUGUCAACAGUUGAGCUGCAACAUGGGAAUGUAGCUCAACUGAUAACAGUGCAGCCCUAACGUGCACAAAGCCCCGGGUUGCAUUCCCAGUGCCACAUAAACUGCGAAUGGUGGCACACACCUGUAACCCUAGCACUUGGAAAUAUAAGGCUAUCCUUGGCUACAUAGCGAUAACAAGCCAACCUAAGAUAAUUGAGACCCUAGUUUUUAAAAAAAGAAAAAAGCACCGUGAGUAGAAAAGGUAAGGGCCUGGUUAGUUGGGCGUGAGAACACCCACGCUGUUUCUCUCUUCUCUCGUGGUCUG
RNAcentral lists this long non-coding RNA (313 nucleotides) under Androctonus crassicauda. The record is from RNAcentral. Lineage: Eukaryota; Metazoa; Arthropoda; Arachnida; Scorpiones; Buthidae.